This 568-nucleotide long non-coding RNA is filed under the name Phasianus colchicus (ring-necked pheasant). RNAcentral describes it as "lncRNA (ENSPCLG00000016598.1)". The record is from RNAcentral. Lineage: Eukaryota; Metazoa; Chordata; Aves; Galliformes; Phasianidae.
CGUCCCCAUCACGACGUCCCCAUCCCACCAUGAUGUCCCCAUCCCACCACGAUGUCACCACCAUGACGUCCUCAUCCCAUCACGAUGUCACCACCACGAUGUCCCCAUCCAUCCCAUCCUGAUGUCCCCAUCUCAUCACGAUGUCACCACCAUGUUGUCCCCACCACGAUGUCACCACCACGAUGUCCCCACCACGAUGUCCCCAUCCCAUCACGAUGUCCCCAUUAAUCCCAUCCUGAUGUCCCCAUCCUGUCAUGAUGUCACCACCACGAUGUCCCCAUCCCAUCCUGAUGUCCCCAUCCCGUCACGAUGUCCCCAUCCUGUCACGAUGUCACCAUCACGACGUCCCCACCCACCCCAUAGCGACGCCCCCACCCCAUUUCAGGUCCCCACCCCACCACCAUGCCGUCUGUCCCGUCGUGACAACAUCCGUCUGUCCCACCAUGAUGGUGUCCCUGCACCCCACAGCGACGCCCUCACCCCAUAGCGUCGUCCACCCACCCCAUAGCGACGCCCCCACCCCAUUCGAGGUCCCCACCCCAACACGAGCACGUCCGUCCCGUCGUCA